CCCCUAGAUGUUCUGGGCCGCACGCGCGCUACACUGAACAGUUCAACAAGUCUUAACCUUGGCCGAUAGGUCUGGGUAAUCUUUGAACGCUGUUCGUGAUUGGGAUAGACCUUUGCAAUUAUGGGUCUUCAACGAGGAAUUCCUAGUAAACGCAAGUCAUCAGCUUGCAUUGAUUACGUCCCUGCCCUUUGUACACACCGCCCGUCGCACCUACCGAUUGAAUAUUCCGGUGAGAAGAUAGGAGAAAAAUCUUUUGAUUUUUUGAAUAUUUUUGAACCUUGAUAUUUAGAGGAAGGAGAAGUCGUAACA
This 309-nucleotide ribosomal RNA is filed under the name uncultured eukaryote. Its description in RNAcentral is "partial 18S ribosomal RNA". It matches the Rfam family "Eukaryotic small subunit ribosomal RNA", at positions 1470 to 1796 of the family's 1831-position model. The record is from RNAcentral.